RNAcentral lists this ribosomal RNA (253 nucleotides) under uncultured bacterium. RNAcentral describes it as "partial 16S ribosomal RNA". It matches the Rfam family "Bacterial small subunit ribosomal RNA", at positions 524 to 776 of the family's 1533-position model. The record is from RNAcentral.
UACGUAGGGUGCAAGCGUUGUCCGGAAUUAUUGGGCGUAAAGGGCUCGUAGGCGGUCCGUCACGUCGGGAGUGAAAACUUGGGGCUUAACCCCAAGCCUGCUUCCGAUACGGGCGGACUAGAGGUAGGCAGGGGAGAACGGAAUUCCUGGUGUAGCGGUGAAAUGCGCAGAUACCAGGAGGAACACCGGUGGCGAAGGCGGGUCUCUGGGCCGAUACUGACGCUGAGGAGCGAAAGCGUGGGGAGCGAACAGG